GACGAACGCUGGCGGCGUGCUUAACACAUGCAAGUCGAACGGAAAGGCCCUGCUUUUGUGGGGUGCUCGAGUGGCGAACGGGUGAGUAACACGUGAGUAACCUGCCCUUGACUUUGGGAUAACUUCAGGAAACUGGGGCUAAUACCGGAUAGGAGCUCCUGCUGCAUGGUGGGGGUUGGAAAGUUUCGGCGGUUGGGGAUGGACUCGCGGCUUAUCAGCUUGUUGGUGGGGUAGUGGCUUACCAAGGCUUUGACGGGUAGCCGGCCUGAGAGGGUGACCGGCCACAUUGGGACUGAGGUACGGCCCGGACUCCUACGGGAGGCAGCAGUGGGAAAUAUUGCACGAUGGGCGGAAGCCUGAUGCAGCAGCGCCGCGUGCGGGAUGACGGCCUUCGGGUUGUAAACCGCUUUCGCCUGUGACGAAGCGUGAGUGACGGUAAUGGGUAAAGAAGCACCGGCUAACUACGUG
RNAcentral lists this ribosomal RNA (468 nucleotides) under uncultured bacterium. RNAcentral's name for it is "partial 16S ribosomal RNA". It matches the Rfam family "Bacterial small subunit ribosomal RNA", at positions 28 to 507 of the family's 1533-position model. The record is from RNAcentral.